RNAcentral lists this ribosomal RNA (774 nucleotides) under uncultured Neocallimastigales. RNAcentral describes it as "partial large subunit ribosomal RNA". It matches the Rfam family "Eukaryotic large subunit ribosomal RNA", at positions 24 to 641 of the family's 3401-position model. The record is from RNAcentral. Lineage: Eukaryota; Fungi; Neocallimastigomycota; Neocallimastigomycetes; Neocallimastigales.
UAUCUCUGUAGAGUCUGCAUAUCAAUAAGCGGAGGAAAAGAAACUAACAAGGAUUCCCUUAGUAACGGCGAGUGAAGCGGGAAGAGCUCAAAUUUGAAAUCUUCAAGGUUCUACCCUGACGAAUUGUAGUUAUAGAAGUGUUUUCUGUUAGUGGAGUGGCAAAAGUUCUUUGGAAUAGGACAUCAUAGAGGGUGAGAAUCCCGUAUUUGGUCAUUCCUCCUAGCGUUGUGAUACACUUUCAACGAGUCGGAUUGUUUGGGAAUGCAGUCCAAAAUGGGUGGUAAAUUUCAUCUAAAGCUAAAUAUUGGCGAGAGACCGAUAGCGAACAAGUACCGUGAGGGAAAGAUGAAAAGAACUUUGAAAAGAGAGUUAAACAGUACGUGAAAUUGUCAAAAGGGAAGCGUUUGACACCAGUGUUGUUUUUCCGAAAAUCAAUUACGAAUGUUUUAGUUUUUGAGGAGUUAUGACUUCAUCGGCUUGCUCCUUUCUUUAUGAAACUUUCUUAAUGCACUUUUCGGUUAACAAGUCAACAUCAAUUUCUUUUGUUGUAAAAGGGUAUGAGGAAGGUGGCUUUCUUUUCGGAGAAAGUGUUUAUAGCCUUGUGCCUCUGCAAUCGGAGAGAUUGAGGUCUGCAGCGUAGACUCUUCGGGGUUAGAUACACUUGUGCUAAGCUAUAGCCUUGUAUAGACAACUUGUUGACUAUGCUCAGUCAUGUAGCUUACUCGCUUGCAGUAUUUUACCUACGCUUAGGAUGUUGAACGCGCACAGAGUCUC